This 380-nucleotide ribosomal RNA is filed under the name uncultured bacterium. RNAcentral describes it as "partial 16S ribosomal RNA". It matches the Rfam family "Bacterial small subunit ribosomal RNA", at positions 338 to 733 of the family's 1533-position model. The record is from RNAcentral.
CCUACGGGAGGCAGCAGUGAGGAAUAUUGGGCAAUGGGCGCAAGCCUGACCCAGCCACGCCGCGUGAAGGAAGAAGGCUCUCGGGUUGUAAACUUCUUUUGUCAGGGAAGAGUAGAAGACGGUACCUGACGAAUAAGCCACGGCUAACUACGUGCCAGCAGCCGCGGUCAUACGGAGGUGGCAGGCGUUGUCCGGAUUUACUGGGUGUAAAGGGCGUGUAGCCGGGUUGACAAGUCAGAUGUGAAAACUUGCGGCUUAACCGCAGACCGGCAUUUGAAACUGGUGAUCUUGAGUAGUGGAGAGGCAGGCGGAAUGCGUAGUGUAGCGGUGAAAUGCGUAGAUAUUAGGCAGAACACCAGUGGCGAAGGCAGUCUACUGGA